This 463-nucleotide ribosomal RNA is filed under the name uncultured bacterium. Its description in RNAcentral is "partial 16S ribosomal RNA". It matches the Rfam family "Bacterial small subunit ribosomal RNA", at positions 28 to 507 of the family's 1533-position model. The record is from RNAcentral.
GACGAACGCUGGCGGCGUGCUUAACACAUGCAAGUCGAGCGGUAAGGCCCUUCGGGGUACACGAGCGGCGAACGGGUGAGUAACACGUGAGUAAUCUGCCCAUCACUUCGGGAUAACUCCGGGAAACCGGUGCUAAUACCGAAUAUGACCACUUCAGGCAUCUGAUGGUGGUGGAAAGUUCCGGCGGUGAUGGGUGAGCUCGCGGCCUAUCAGCUUGUUGGUGGGGUAGUGGCCUACCAAGGCUUCGACGGGUAGCCGGCCUGAGAGGGUGACCGGCCACACUGGGACUGAGACACGGCCCAGACUCCUACGGGAGGCAGCAGUGGGGAAUAUUGGACAAUGGGCGAAAGCCUGAUCCAGCAACGCCGCGUGAGGGAUGACGGCCUUCGGGUUGUAAACCUCUUUCAGCAGGGACGAAGCGCAAGUGACGGUACCUGCAGAAGAAGCACCGGCCAACUACGUG